GUGAGUCAUCGAAUCUUUGAACGCACAUUGCGCCCGCCGGCAUUCCGGCGGGCACGCCUGUUCGAGCGUCAUUUCAACCCUCGCGCCCGGCGCGGUGAUGGGGAUCCGCGGCACCGCGGGCCCUGAAAACUAGUGGCGGCAUCGCCUGGAACGCAGCGUAGUAGUAACACCUCGCUAGCGGCCCCAGGCGCUGCCCGCCGUGAAACAUAGUCGACGAGUUGACCUCGGAUCAGGCGGGAAUACCCGCUGAACUUAAGCAUAUCAAUAAGCGGAGGA
Molecule: unclassified non-coding RNA, 276 nt
Filed under: Sordariomycetes sp.
Lineage: Eukaryota; Fungi; Ascomycota; Sordariomycetes
Description: partial contains 5.8S ribosomal RNA, internal transcribed spacer 2, and large subunit ribosomal RNA
Rfam family: 5.8S ribosomal RNA (bases 1-71)
Source: RNAcentral